GAGGGUAUAACUCAGUGGCAGAGUGUGUGCUUAGCAUGCAGGAAGUCCUGGGUUCAAUCCCCAGUAACUCUU
Molecule: transfer RNA, 72 nt
Filed under: Camelus bactrianus (Bactrian camel)
Lineage: Eukaryota; Metazoa; Chordata; Mammalia; Artiodactyla; Camelidae
Also listed under: 2 other names
Rfam family: tRNA
About the family: Transfer RNA (tRNA) molecules are approximately 80 nucleotides in length.
Source: Rfam by way of RNAcentral